RNAcentral lists this ribosomal RNA (410 nucleotides) under Culicoides schultzei. RNAcentral describes it as "partial 16S ribosomal RNA". The record is from RNAcentral. Lineage: Eukaryota; Metazoa; Arthropoda; Insecta; Diptera; Ceratopogonidae.
AUUGACCGUGGCCAAGUAGCAUAAUCAUUUGUCUUUUAAUUAAAGGCUUGUAUGAAUGGUUGGAUGAGAUAUAAUCUAUUUUUAUUUAAUUAAAAAUGAAUUUUAAUUUUUAGUAAAAAUGCUAAAAUAAAAAAUAUAGACGAGAAGACCCUAUAAAUCUUUAUUAUUUUUUUAUUAAUUUAUUAAUAGAAUAAAAAAUUUAUUAAUAAAACAAUAAUUUUAUUGGGGUGAUAAUGAAAUUUAAUAAACUUUUAUUUUAUUUUAUAAAUAUAAUUAAUUUAAUGAUCCAUUUUUAAUGAUUAUAAAAUUAAGUUACUUUAGGGAUAACAGCGUAAUUAUUUUAAAGAGUUCAUAUCGAUAAAAUAGUUUGCGACCUCGAUGUUGAAUUAAGGAGUAAGUUUAGGUGUAGA